Molecule: ribosomal RNA, 301 nt
Filed under: uncultured bacterium
Lineage: Bacteria
Description: partial 16S ribosomal RNA
Rfam family: Bacterial small subunit ribosomal RNA
Source: RNAcentral
CAGUCGCCGCGGUAAUACGAAGGUCCCGAGCGUUGUUCGGAAUCACCGGGCGUAAAGGGAGCGUAGGCGGCGUGGUAAGUCAGAUGUGAAAUCCCGGGGCUCAACCCCGGAACUGCAUCCGAUACUGCCAUGCUAGAGGAUUGGAGAGGUAGCUGGAAUUCUUGGUGUAGCAGUAAAAUGCGUGGAGAUCAAGAGGAACACUCGUGGCGAAAGCGAGCUACUGGACAAUAACUGACGCUGAGGCUCGAAGGCCAGGGUAGCGAAAGGGAUUAGAUACCCCAGUAGUCCCUGUCUCUUAUAC